GGCAGGUGUAAGGCCCCUGAGUUCUUGUGUCUAUUUCAUUCUUCAUCCUCCUACACUAUCACCUGUAACUAAGACCUUUCUGAAUACCCGGGAUUUAAAAAUGAAUGCCUUGUGGGGCGCCUGGGUGGCGCAGUCGGUUAGGCGUCCGACUUCAGCCAG
Molecule: long non-coding RNA, 159 nt
Organism: Leopardus geoffroyi (Geoffroy's cat)
Lineage: Eukaryota; Metazoa; Chordata; Mammalia; Carnivora; Felidae
Exons: 3
Source: RefSeq, a predicted model, not a curated record